This 412-nucleotide ribosomal RNA is filed under the name Microvirga sp. Its description in RNAcentral is "bacterial SSU rRNA". It matches the Rfam family "Bacterial small subunit ribosomal RNA", at positions 53 to 512 of the family's 1533-position model. The record is from RNAcentral. Lineage: Bacteria; Pseudomonadati; Pseudomonadota; Alphaproteobacteria; Hyphomicrobiales; Methylobacteriaceae.
ACAUGCAGUCGAACGGGCCCUUCGGGGUCAGUGGCAGACGGGUGAGUAACGCGUGGGAACGUGCCCUUCAGUUUGGAAUAACCCAGGGAAACUUGGGCUAAUACCGGAUACGCCCUAACGGGGAAAGAUUUAUCGCUGAAGGAUCGGCCCGCGUCUGAUUAGCUAGUUGGUGAGGUAAUGGCUCACCAAGGCGACGAUCAGUAGCUGGUCUGAGAGGAUGAUCAGCCACAUUGGGACUGAGACACGGCCCAAACUCCUACGGGAGGCAGCAGUGGGGAAUAUUGGACAAUGGGCGCAAGCCUGAUCCAGCCAUGCCGCGUGAGUGAUGACGGCCUUAGGGUUGUAAAGCUCUUUCGGCGGGGACGAUAAUGACGGUACCCGCAGAAGAAGCCCCGGCUAACUUCGUGCCAGC